Molecule: ribosomal RNA, 406 nt
Filed under: uncultured bacterium
Lineage: Bacteria
Description: partial 16S ribosomal RNA
Rfam family: Bacterial small subunit ribosomal RNA
Source: RNAcentral
AUUGAACGCUGGCGGCCGGCCUAACACAUGCAAGUCGAACGAGUGGCGGACGGGUGAGUAAUGUCUGGGAAACUGCCUGAUGGUGGGGGAUAACUACUGGACACGGUAGCUAAUACCGCAUACCAUCAGAUGUGCCCAGAUGGGCUUAGCUUGUUGGUGGGGUAACGGCUCGCCAAGGCGACGAUCCCUAGCUGGUCUGAGAGGAUGACCAGCCACACUGGAACGUAGACACGGUCCAGACUCCUACGGGAUGCAGCAGUGGGGAAUAUGGCACAAGGGGCGCAAGCCUGAUGCAGCCAUGCCGCGUGUAUGAAUAAGGCCUUCGGGUUGUAAAGUACUUUCAGCGGGGAGGCGUUACCCGCAGAAGAAGCACCGGCUAACUCCGUGCCAGCAGCCGCGGUAAUAC